Molecule: ribosomal RNA, 2926 nt
Filed under: Escherichia coli
Lineage: Bacteria; Pseudomonadati; Pseudomonadota; Gammaproteobacteria; Enterobacterales; Enterobacteriaceae
Description: 23S ribosomal RNA
Rfam family: Bacterial large subunit ribosomal RNA
Source: RNAcentral
GGGUUGUGAGGUUAAGCGACUAAGCGUACACGGUGGAUGCCCUGGCAGUCAGAGGCGAUGAAGGACGUGCUAAUCUGCGAUAAGCGUCGGUAAGGUGAUAUGAACCGUUAUAACCGGCGAUUUCCGAAUGGGGAAACCCAGUGUGAUUCGUCACACUAUCAUUAACUGAAUCCAUAGGUUAAUGAGGCGAACCGGGGGAACUGAAACAUCUAAGUACCCCGAGGAAAAGAAAUCAACCGAGAUUCCCCCAGUAGCGGCGAGCGAACGGGGAGGAGCCCAGAGCCUGAAUCAGUGUGUGUGUUAGUGGAAGCGUCUGGAAAGGCGCGCGAUACAGGGUGACAGCCCCGUACACAAAAAUGCACAUGCUGUGAGCUCGAUGAGUAGGGCGGGACACGUGGUAUCCUGUCUGAAUAUGGGGGGACCAUCCUCCAAGGCUAAAUACUCCUGACUGACCGAUAGUGAACCAGUACCGUGAGGGAAAGGCGAAAAGAACCCCGGCGAGGGGAGUGAAAAAGAACCUGAAACCGUGUACGUACAAGCAGUGGGAGCACAGAGCAAUCUGUGUGACUGCGUACCUUUUGUAUAAUGGGUCAGCGACUUAUAUUCUGUAGCAAGGUUAACCGAAUAGGGGAGCCGAAGGGAAACCGAGUCUUAACUGGGCGUUAAGUUGCAGGGUAUAGACCCGAAACCCGGUGAUCUAGCCAUGGGCAGGUUGAAGGUUGGGUAACACUAACUGGAGGACCGAACCGACUAAUGUUGAAAAAUUAGCGGAUGACUUGUGGCUGGGGGUGAAAGGCCAAUCAAACCGGGAGAUAGCUGGUUCUCCCCGAAAGCUAUUUAGGUAGCGCCUCGUGAAUUCAUCUCCGGGGGUAGAGCACUGUUUCGGCAAGGGGGUCAUCCCGACUUACCAACCCGAUGCAAACUGCGAAUACCGGAGAAUGUUAUCACGGGAGACACACGGCGGGUGCUAACGUCCGUCGUGAAGAGGGAAACAACCCAGACCGCCAGCUAAGGUCCCAAAGUCAUGGUUAAGUGGGAAACGAUGUGGGAAGGCCCAGACAGCCAGGAUGUUGGCUUAGAAGCAGCCAUCAUUUAAAGAAAGCGUAAUAGCUCACUGGUCGAGUCGGCCUGCGCGGAAGAUGUAACGGGGCUAAACCAUGCACCGAAGCUGCGGCAGCGACACUAUGUGUUGUUGGGUAGGGGAGCGUUCUGUAAGCCUGCGAAGGUGUGCUGUGAGGCAUGCUGGAGGUAUCAGAAGUGCGAAUGCUGACAUAAGUAACGAUAAAGCGGGUGAAAAGCCCGCUCGCCGGAAGACCAAGGGUUCCUGUCCAACGUUAAUCGGGGCAGGGUGAGUCGACCCCUAAGGCGAGGCCGAAAGGCGUAGUCGAUGGGAAACAGGUUAAUAUUCCUGUACUUGGUGUUACUGCGAAGGGGGGACGGAGAAGGCUAUGUUGGCCGGGCGACGGUUGUCCCGGUUUAAGCGUGUAGGCUGGUUUUCCAGGCAAAUCCGGAAAAUCAAGGCUGAGGCGUGAUGACGAGGCACUACGGUGCUGAAGCAACAAAUGCCCUGCUUCCAGGAAAAGCCUCUAAGCAUCAGGUAACAUCAAAUCGUACCCCAAACCGACACAGGUGGUCAGGUAGAGAAUACCAAGGCGCUUGAGAGAACUCGGGUGAAGGAACUAGGCAAAAUGGUGCCGUAACUUCGGGAGAAGGCACGCUGAUAUGUAGGUGAAGUCCCUCGCGGAUGGAGCUGAAAUCAGUCGAAGAUACCAGCUGGCUGCAACUGUUUAUUAAAAACACAGCACUGUGCAAACACGAAAGUGGACGUAUACGGUGUGACGCCUGCCCGGUGCCGGAAGGUUAAUUGAUGGGGUUAGCGCAAGCGAAGCUCUUGAUCGAAGCCCCGGUAAACGGCGGCCGUAACUAUAACGGUCCUAAGGUAGCGAAAUUCCUUGUCGGGUAAGUUCCGACCUGCACGAAUGGCGUAAUGAUGGCCAGGCUGUCUCCACCCGAGACUCAGUGAAAUUGAACUCGCUGUGAAGAUGCAGUGUACCCGCGGCAAGACGGAAAGACCCCGUGAACCUUUACUAUAGCUUGACACUGAACAUUGAGCCUUGAUGUGUAGGAUAGGUGGGAGGCUUUGAAGUGUGGACGCCAGUCUGCAUGGAGCCGACCUUGAAAUACCACCCUUUAAUGUUUGAUGUUCUAACGUUGACCCGUAAUCCGGGUUGCGGACAGUGUCUGGUGGGUAGUUUGACUGGGGCGGUCUCCUCCUAAAGAGUAACGGAGGAGCACGAAGGUUGGCUAAUCCUGGUCGGACAUCAGGAGGUUAGUGCAAUGGCAUAAGCCAGCUUGACUGCGAGCGUGACGGCGCGAGCAGGUGCGAAAGCAGGUCAUAGUGAUCCGGUGGUUCUGAAUGGAAGGGCCAUCGCUCAACGGAUAAAAGGUACUCCGGGGAUAACAGGCUGAUACCGCCCAAGAGUUCAUAUCGACGGCGGUGUUUGGCACCUCGAUGUCGGCUCAUCACAUCCUGGGGCUGAAGUAGGUCCCAAGGGUAUGGCUGUUCGCCAUUUAAAGUGGUACGCGAGCUGGGUUUAGAACGUCGUGAGACAGUUCGGUCCCUAUCUGCCGUGGGCGCUGGAGAAUUGAGGGGGGCUGCUCCUAGUACGAGAGGACCGGAGUGGACGCAUCACUGGUGUUCGGGUUGUCAUGCCAAUGGCACUGCCCGGUAGCUAAAUGCGGAAGAGAUAAGUGCUGAAAGCAUCUAAGCACGAAACUUGCCCCGAGAUGAGUUCUCCCUGACUCCUUGAGAGUCCUGAAGGAACGUUGAAGACGACGACGUUGAUAGGCCGGGUGUGUAAGCGCAGCGAUGCGUUGAGCUAACCGGUACUAAUGAACCGUGAGGCUUAACCUUACAACGCCGAAG